CAUGGCAUUAUAAGACAUAAAUCAUAAACAACAAAAUAGGCAUUUUAAGCCAUAUGUGAAGACUUUUUUUUAAAUAAUCAUAUUUUUUAAAAAAAUUUCAAAAAUAACCAUAAUUUAAAAAAAAUUACAAAAAUGGGCAGUUUUUGCCCUAAAGACACAUGGGUGCCACCCUAGAUGGCGCCUACCCUUUAGUUGGAGGGCAAGUUGCCACUAGGAGUGGCGCCUACUCCUAAAUUAUUUAAAUUUUUUUUCUUUUUGCUUUUUU
Molecule: long non-coding RNA, 265 nt
Filed under: Lathyrus oleraceus (garden pea)
Lineage: Eukaryota; Viridiplantae; Streptophyta; Magnoliopsida; Fabales; Fabaceae
Description: Pisum sativum (pea) long non-coding RNA (PSAT_LNC008418)
Source: RNAcentral